Molecule: ribosomal RNA, 301 nt
Filed under: uncultured bacterium
Lineage: Bacteria
Description: partial 16S ribosomal RNA
Rfam family: Bacterial small subunit ribosomal RNA
Source: RNAcentral
CAGUCGCCGCGGGAAUACGUAGGGUGCAAGCGUUAAUCGGAAUUACUGGGCGUAAAGCGUGCGCAGGCGGUUCGCUAAGACAGAUGUGAAAUCCCCGGGCUUAACCUGGGAACUGCAUUUGUGACUGGCGGGCUAGAGUAUGGCAGAGGGGGGUAGAAUUCCACGUGUAGCAGUGAAAUGCGUAGAGAUGUGGAGGAAUACCGAUGGCGAAGGCAGCCCCCUGGGCCAAUACUGACGCUCAUGCACGAAAGCGUAGGGAGCAAACAGGAUUAGAUACCCCAGUAGUCCCUGUCUCUUAUAC